UUUAAGAUGGCAGAGUAAAAUGCAUUAGGUUUAGGACCUAAAGAAGGUUAUACCUCUUAUAU
Molecule: transfer RNA, 62 nt
Filed under: Enchiridium sp. MTA_2015
Lineage: Eukaryota; Metazoa; Platyhelminthes; Polycladida; Prosthiostomidae
Description: tRNA-Leu
Source: RNAcentral